UACAGAGGGUGCGAGCGUUAAUCGGAAUUACUGGGCGUAAAGCGUGCGCAGGCGGUCUUUUAAGUCAGAUGUGAAAUCCCCGGGCUUAACCUGGGAACUGCGUUUGAAACUGGAAGGCUUGAGUGUGGCAGAGGGGGGUGGAAUUCCACGUGUAGCAGUGAAAUGCGUAGAUAUGUGGAGGAACACCGAUGGCGAAGGCAGCCCCCUGGGCUAACACUGACGCUCAUGCACGAAAGCGUGGGGAGCAAACAGG
Molecule: ribosomal RNA, 253 nt
Filed under: uncultured bacterium
Lineage: Bacteria
Description: partial 16S ribosomal RNA
Rfam family: Bacterial small subunit ribosomal RNA
Source: RNAcentral